CGGAGGGUGCAAGCGUUAUCCGGAUUCACUGGGUUUAAAGGGUGUGUAGGCGGAUAUUUAAGUCAGUGGUGAAAUCUCCAGGCUCAACCUGGAAACUGCCAUUGAUACUAUUUAUCUUGAAUUCUGUUGAGGUGGGCGGAAUACAUCAUGUAGCGGUGAAAUGCUUAGAUAUGAUGUAGAACACCGAUUGCGAAGGCAGCUCACUAAGCAGACAUUGACGCUGAGGCACGAAAGCGUGGGGAUCAAACAGGAUUAGAUACCCUGGUAGUCCACGCCCUAAACGAUGAUUACUCGACAUACGCGAUACACAGUGUGUGUCUGAGCGAAAGCAUUAAGUAAUCCACCUGGGAAGUACGACCGCAAGGUUG
RNAcentral lists this ribosomal RNA (368 nucleotides) under uncultured organism. RNAcentral's name for it is "bacterial SSU rRNA". It matches the Rfam family "Bacterial small subunit ribosomal RNA", at positions 526 to 896 of the family's 1533-position model. The record is from RNAcentral.